This 392-nucleotide long non-coding RNA is filed under the name Oreochromis niloticus (Nile tilapia). RNAcentral describes it as "lncRNA (ENSONIG00000030081.1)". The record is from RNAcentral. Lineage: Eukaryota; Metazoa; Chordata; Actinopteri; Cichliformes; Cichlidae.
GUCUGCAACAUCACAGUAUAUCUGUUAUGUUAUAGUAUUACUACUAAGUCACAGUAUUUCUGCCAAUUCAAGGAGGCUGACUGUUACUAAGUGCAUCAGUGUACAUAGGUCAUCUCUUGUGUUGGAGUGCCCUCUUGUGGCGCCUUUUGGGUAGUGCCUUAGUAAACGUGAAACUGCAAAGAAGUGGUAUCAGACUGGUUUGUAGUGGAGGAAUUUUUUUUGCCAGUUUCUUUCAUCUUUAAUCCGUAUUCAUGUUGUAAUGUAGUAACUUUUGUGGCACAAAUACCACAAUAUGGCAGAAAUACCAUGUUUUGGCACAAAUACUUUGAUUUGGUAUACUUUAGCUUCUUCACCCCUUUUCAGCAAAAUGUUCAUUUUUUUCACCCCUUUUC